This 437-nucleotide ribosomal RNA is filed under the name uncultured bacterium. Its description in RNAcentral is "partial 16S ribosomal RNA". It matches the Rfam family "Bacterial small subunit ribosomal RNA", at positions 29 to 507 of the family's 1533-position model. The record is from RNAcentral.
AGCGAACGCUGGCGGCAGGCUUAACACAUGCAAGUCGAGCGGGCAUCCUUGUGGUGUCAGCGGCAGACGGGUGAGUAACGCGUGGGAACGUGCCCUUCGGUUCGGAAUAACUCAGGGAAACUUGAGUUAAUACCGGAUACGUGCGAGAGCAGAAAGGUUUAUCUGCCGAAGGAUCGGCCCGCGUCUGAUUAGCUAGUUGGUGAGGUUAUGGCUCACCAAGGCGACGAUCAGUAGCUGGUCUGAGAGGAUGAUCAGCCACACUGGGACUGAGACACGGCCCAGACUCCUACGGGAGGCAGCAGUGGGGAAUAUUGGACAAUGGGGGCAACCCUGAUCCAGCCAUGCCGCGUGAGUGAUGACGGCCUUAGGGUUGUAAAGCUCUUUUCUCCGGGACGAUAAUGACGGUACCGGAGGAAUAAGCCCCGGCUAACUUCGUG